Mugil cephalus (flathead mullet) is the source of this 460-nucleotide long non-coding RNA. RefSeq lists it as uncharacterized. NCBI's taxonomy places the organism in Eukaryota, Metazoa, Chordata, Actinopteri, Mugiliformes, Mugilidae. The record is from RefSeq and is a predicted model, not a curated record. The transcript has 3 exons.
GGAAGCUGGUGGGUGUGGGUGAAUAGUGGAAGGAUAUUCGGCAGAAACAGCCACAACAGGAAUAGGAAAUAAGUGAAUAUGGCCAUCCAGAGAAUCCAUUAUAUAUCAGAAGAGAUGGAGAAUGGGAGAAAAGGCCCGCGGCCCUUCUUGCACUUCACGCCCCAUGCAUCUCACUCCUCGCCCUUGGCACUCGAAUGUUUGCUUACAGUCUGCUUUGGGUGCUGUUGAGGACACAGGGACCCCAGGCCCUCCACUGCCAGGUGACGUCGGGAGCGGGGAGACCGUAGGCCGUGCACGUCAGCGUCUGGCUGCUGCCACUCGGGGUAAAACCACUGAAUGUCCACGCCAGUGUUGAACUCCACCACAGCCGUGCAGUUCAGGGUGAGGGCCUCCCCGACGAUCAGCUCUACCGGGUCCUCAGGAAACAGCUUGACAUUGUAAACCUGACUUCCUGUCCGGG